UACGUAGGGUGCAAGCGUUAAUCGGAAUUACUGGGCGUAAAGCGUGCGCAGGCGGUUGUGCAAGGGCGAUGUUAAAUCCCCGGGCUUAACCUGGGAAUGGCAUUGGUGACUGCACGGCUAGAGUGUGUCAGAGGGGGGUAGAAUUCCACGUGUAGCAGUGAAAUGCGUAGAGAUGUGGAGGAAUACCGAUGGCGAAGGCAGCCCCCUGGGAUAACACUGACGCUCAUGCACGAAAGCGUGGGGAGCAAACAGG
Molecule: ribosomal RNA, 253 nt
Filed under: uncultured bacterium
Lineage: Bacteria
Description: partial 16S ribosomal RNA
Rfam family: Bacterial small subunit ribosomal RNA
Source: RNAcentral